Molecule: RNA transcript, 2272 nt
Organism: Odobenus rosmarus divergens (Pacific walrus)
Lineage: Eukaryota; Metazoa; Chordata; Mammalia; Carnivora; Odobenidae
Gene name: tax1-binding protein 1 homolog
Exons: 4
Source: RefSeq, a predicted model, not a curated record
AUGGUGGCUCUGGCCUGCUUUGAGCUCAGGAACCAGGGCCUCAGGCCUCGUUUUCUAGACGGAUUCACAGUGACAUCUCUUCAAGAAGUCCCCUUGCAGACUUCCAACUUUGCCCAUGUCAUCUUUCAAAAUGUGGCCAAGAGUUAUCUUCCUAAUGCACACCUGGAAUGUCAUUACACUUUAACUCCAUAUAUCCAUCCACAUCCAAAAGAUUGGGUUGGUAUGUUCAAGGUUGGAUGGAGUACUGCUUGCGAUUAUUACACAAUUUUAUGGUCUCCUAUGCCUGAACAUUACAUAGAAGGAUCAACAGUUAAUUGUGUAUUAGCAUUUCAAGGAUAUUACUUUCCAAAUGAUGAUGGAGAAUUUUAUCAGUUCUGUUAUGUUACCCAUAAGGGUGAAAUUCAUGGGACAAGUACACCUUUCCAGUUUCAAGUUUCUCCAGUUGAAGAGUUACUGUGGAAGAUGAAGGAAAUUCUGACAUGUUGGUGGUAAUCAAAAAGCUGGCCUUCUUGAGUUGAAAACUGAAGAAACCAUGAAAAAAAAAGAACUAUUAAAGUUAAUUGCUGUUCUGGAAGAAGAAACAACACAACUUUGAGAAUAAGUUGGAAGACUGGAAAGAGAGCUUAAACAUCAAAAAGAUGUGACCAACUGCAAGCAGAGCAAAAGGGUCUUGUUGAAGUAUCACAAAAUUAAAAAUGGAAAAUUAAGAAAUUAAGAAGAGAUACAAUGAUGCUACAUCCAAAGCUCUCCGGCUUGAGGAAGAUAUUGUGUCAGUGACACAUAAAGCAAUUGAAAAAGAAACUGAAUUAGACAGUUUAAAGGACAAACUCAGGAAGGCACAAUAUGAAAGAGAACAACUGGAACAUCAGUUGAAGUUGGAAAAGGAUGAGAAGGAACUUUAUAAGGUACAAUUUGAAGAACACCGAAAUAGAAAAUACCAAGCUUGUGUCAGAGGUCCAGACUUUAAAGAAUUUAGAUGGGAACAAAGAUAAAAGCAUGAUUACUCAUUUCAAAGAAGAGACUGGCAGGCUGUAGUUCUGUUUGGCUGAAAAGGAAAAUCUGCAAAGGGCUUUCUUGUUUACAACCUCAAGUAAGGAAGAUACUUCUUUUUUUUUUAAGGAACAACUUCAUAAGCAGAGGAACACGUUCAGGCAACUCGGCAAAAGUUGUCUUUCUGGCCAAAGAACUUUUAGUGAUGCUGUAUAUGUGCAAGAUAAAACAAUGGCAGAUCUGCAUACUGCACACUUGGAAAAAAGCUGAUGCAGUGACAGAACUUAAACUAAAUGCUGUGGAGGAAAAAAGGCCAGGAAAAGACUGAUAGACUGGAACGUGAACUGAGAAGUUGAAGACUUGAAACUUUGUCUUCAGAUGGCGGCAGAUCAUUACAAAGAAAAAAUCAAGGAAUGCUAGAGGCUCCAAAAUCAAAUAAACUUUCAGACCAAUCAGCCAAUAGCAACAGUGUCUUCACAAAGAAAAUUGGAAAUCAGCAAAAAAGGGAAUGGUGCCUCCAUAAAUGCCGACCCAGCUACUGCUGGGUCUACUAUAGAUAUAAAGCCACCCCUGUCUGCAGCUGAGACAGAUUCUGACGGUGUAACAAAGGGGCAAGUCUGUGAAGUGACCAAAGAAACUGCUGACAAAACAGAAAAAUAUAAAAAAGGUAAGUGACUCUUGCAGGAUGAGAAAACAAAAUUCAAUAAAUAUGUCAAUGAACUGCAAACAUGGAGCUGAAAUGGAAAGAGCAAGUGAAGACUGCUGGAAAUAUAACACUAGCACUAGCUGAAGUAGAGGACAAUUACAAACUUCAACUGACAGAGAAAGACAAAGAUAAAUGGUCUAACUUCACAUCUGGAAAACUUCUCCAGAGAGAAGGAACUUAAAAGGAGUCUAGAAAAUCAAGCAGAAAGGAAAAUGGAAGGUCAGAAUUCCCAGAGUCCUCAGAAGAUCUCACGGUGUCUCGACACCUGCUCUGAGCAAAAUGGUCAUGUUGCUGCAGUGCGGAAUACACAGCCAGUUCUGCAGUCUGGUGAUCCUUAACGCAACACAGGAAACCAGGGUUGGUGCAGAUGGUGCUGUUUACCCAGGUGAAAUCCAAAGGCUGCCUGUGAGAGUACCUUCUUGGGGAAUGGAAGAUCAUGUUGUCUGCAGCCAGCCUGCUGGAAACAUUAGUGGGCUUGAUGGUUUAGAAGACCCUGAGGACAGUAAAGAAGAUGAGAAUGAAUGCCCUGCAAGUAGGACUUUCCUUUUGGAAUUUGAGAGGGAGUUCCUGGAAUGA